UCCUAGUACGAGAGGACCGGAGUGGACGCAUCACUGGUGUUCGGGUUGUCAUGCCAAUGGCACUGCCCGGUAGCUAAAUGCGGAAGAGAUAAGUGCUGAAAGCAUCUAAGCACGAAACUUGCCCCGAGAUGAGUUCUCCCUGACUCCUUGAGAGUCCUGAAGGAACGUUGAAGACGACGACGUUGAUAGGCCGGGUGUGUAAGCGCAGCGAUGCGUUGAGCUAACCGGUACUAAUGAACCGUGAGGCUUAACCUUACAACGCCGAAGGUGUUU
Molecule: ribosomal RNA, 273 nt
Filed under: Escherichia coli
Lineage: Bacteria; Pseudomonadati; Pseudomonadota; Gammaproteobacteria; Enterobacterales; Enterobacteriaceae
Description: partial 23S ribosomal RNA
Rfam family: Bacterial large subunit ribosomal RNA
Source: RNAcentral